This 440-nucleotide ribosomal RNA is filed under the name uncultured bacterium. RNAcentral describes it as "bacterial SSU rRNA". It matches the Rfam family "Bacterial small subunit ribosomal RNA", at positions 338 to 776 of the family's 1533-position model. The record is from RNAcentral.
CCUACGGGUGGCAGCAGUAGGGAAUAUUGGUCAAUGGAUGCAAGUCUGAACCAGCCAUGCCGCGUGCAGGAAGAAGGCCUUCUGGGUUGUAAACUGCUUUUGCCAGGGGCUAAAAAGCCCAUGCGUGGGAAAUUGAAAGUACCUGGUGAAUAAGCCACGGCUAACUACGUGCCAGCAGCCGCGGUAAUACGUAGGUGGCGAGCGUUGUCCGGAUUUAUUGGGUUUAAAGGGUGCGUAGGCGGCCUUGUAAGUCAGUGCUGAAAUACCCCGGCUUAACCGGGGGGGUGGCAUUGAUACUGCAGGGCUUGAGUACAGAUGAGGUAGGCGGAAUUGACGGUGUAGCGGUGAAAUGCAUAGAUAUCGUCAAGAACACCUAUAGCGAAGGCAGCUUACUAAGCUGUAACUGACGCUGAGGCACGAAAGUGUGGGGAUCAAACAGG